RNAcentral lists this long non-coding RNA (834 nucleotides) under Gossypium barbadense (sea-island cotton). Its description in RNAcentral is "long non-coding RNA (GBAR_LNC017583)". Lineage: Eukaryota; Viridiplantae; Streptophyta; Magnoliopsida; Malvales; Malvaceae. The record is from RNAcentral.
GCCUAUAUGCUCUUCUAUUUCAUCACGUUGUCUACUGUACAGCAUAGAAUUAGCGUAUAAAGAGAUGGAAGAAAACGAGAGGCAACACAGCAGUGUUGCCGACAGCAAAAUCUAGGAUCCGUUGGCUUGAGUGGUUUGGUAUUGGUGUGGGACUUCACUUUGCAAUUUGCAGACAUGAAAAUGGUGACAGUGUGUGAGUGGUGAGGAAUACCACACGUUCCAUGGCCGAUAAUACAGAAAUAAAUCAAUCCACCCUUCCAUUCCUUUUUAAAAUUCCCCUCUUUUUUACAGCUGCGGUGGAUGUUGUUGAUUCCCAUUAUUAGCGAAUGAGGUAUCGGUAAUGUUGGUAAAGGUUAAAGCCUUAAAUUUAAAGUGAAUCUUACGUGUGAAUUUUCAGUUUAGAUUUUAUGCUGGUUUAAGUUUUACCAUGUAUAAAUUAAAUAUAUGUAAUAGUUUAACUAUGGUCAAAACUAUAUAGAUAUAUUGAUUAUAAUCGUUAUUCUAUUUGUAGUUAUAAUGAUUACUUGUAACCCAAAUUUUUAAUUGAGUUUUGAACAAAGUUAAACUGACUUGAUUUAUAAAUUAUAGAAAAAUGAGAUUAAAUUGGUUAAUUGAAUCAAUUGAUCAAUACAAGUGGGAUCAAUUCAAUAAUAUAUGGUUCCGGUUUUUGCUAAUUUGUGUUUGAAUAUUGUAUUAUGAUGUGUUCAAAUUGGACCGAUUAUUUGUUUAAACCAUUUAUAUUUGCUACGGGUUGUUAUCAUUUCCAUGGAGUUGUCUCUUCCUCGAAUUAACGCUUCUGUCAUGUAAAUGUUAUUAGUACAAUUAUUACUGUUC